AACGUACGCUGGCGGCAGGCCUAACACAUGCAAGUCGAGCGCGCCCUUCGGGGUGAGCGGCGGACGGGUGAGUAACGCGUGGGAACGUGCCCUUUUCUACGGAAUAGCCUCGGGAAACUGAGAGUAAUACCGUAUACGCCCUUUGGGGGAAAGAUUUAUCGGAAAAGGAUCGGCCCGCGUUGGAUUAGGUAGUUGGUGGGGUAAUGGCCUACCAAGCCGACGAUCCAUAGCUGGUUUGAGAGGAUGAUCAGCCACACUGGGACUGAGACACGGCCCAGACUCCUACGGGAGGCAGCAGUGGGGAAUCUUAGACAAUGGGGGCAACCCUGAUCUAGCCAUGCCGCGUGAGUGAUGAAGGCCUUAGGGUUGUAAAGCUCUUUCAGCUGGGAAGAUAAUGACGGUACCAGCAGAAGAAGCCCCGGCUAACUCCGUG
Molecule: ribosomal RNA, 433 nt
Filed under: uncultured bacterium
Lineage: Bacteria
Description: partial 16S ribosomal RNA
Rfam family: Bacterial small subunit ribosomal RNA
Source: RNAcentral